RNAcentral lists this ribosomal RNA (266 nucleotides) under uncultured bacterium. RNAcentral's name for it is "partial 16S ribosomal RNA". It matches the Rfam family "Bacterial small subunit ribosomal RNA", at positions 793 to 1055 of the family's 1533-position model. The record is from RNAcentral.
GUCCACGCCCUAAACGAUGCGAACUGGAUGUUGGGCUCAACUUGGAGCUCAGUAUCGAAGCUAACGCGUUAAGUUCGCCGCCUGGGGAGUACGGUCGCAAAGACUGAAACUCAAAAGGAAUUGACGGGGGCCCGCACAAGCGGUGGAGUAUGUGGUUUAAUUCGAUGCAACGCGAAGAACCUUACCUGGUCUUGACAUCCACGGAACUUUCCAGAGAUGGAUUGGUGCCUUCGGGAGCCGUGAGACAGGUGCUGCAUGGCUGUCGU